GUGCUCACUUUGACAGCACAUAUAUUUAAAUUAGAAUGAUACAGAGAAGAGUGGCACUUGCACAAGGAUGACACACAAAUUCGUGAAGCAUUCCAUGUUUUU
Molecule: non-coding RNA, 102 nt
Organism: Otolemur garnettii (small-eared galago)
Lineage: Eukaryota; Metazoa; Chordata; Mammalia; Primates; Galagidae
Source: Rfam